UGCUUCUUUCGUCUCACACAUGACCUUAUUUCCUGUCAUGUCACAAAAGAAGAAAACAGUCCCGUUCUCUAUAAGACUAAACAGAGUCGAGCCAUAUAAGAAAAUGAACAAGUUGACUUUUUCAUCAUGAAAUUUUGUGUUUUGAAAUAGUUACUAAAGAUGUAUUGUUUAUCGAGCAGCCAAAUGGUUAUACCCCAGAGUUGUUUACAUCAUUGCUUCACUCAUGGUUCGAUGUCAUGAUGGCAUAAAAGAUAUCUUAGAAAAAAGUCGGAUACAUAGUAAUGCAAGAUGUGGGAAGAUGGAUUAAUAUAUUCCUUAAAAAAAAUAAGUCAGUUCUAAAAGGGCAUGAGUAUUUUCCGGGUCUUAGCCGUCUACUCUAGGUACUCGGCUUUCACUGUUAUUCCUAGUCCGUGAGGCCUUCAUAUUACGUCAUGUGAGUGCAUGCAUAUCUCACUGAUUAUAUUCCAUGCAUUUCCCUCCAAAGCUUGUUUACUCUGGACAACAAAAAAGAUACAAUCGUGUGCUUCCAUGUAUUUCCUUCUUAUCAGGGCUUCUGUUUUAACUUUUAAGCCUUGUGCCUCGUGUACUCUCUAUGUACCACAACUUGUAGCAAUUAAUGUACUCAUAUUUACUGGUAGUCAUAGAAAUGCAAUGUACUCACAUAUCCAGCUUUAGAGACAGAAAUGCACUGUACUCUAACAGGAUGAUUAGUACUCCCACCAUUCUUAAAUAUAAAUCUGUUUAGAGAUUCCACUCUGAAUAACAUACGGAACAAAAUGAAUGAAUCUACACUCUAAAGUAUAUAUCUAUA
This 811-nucleotide long non-coding RNA is filed under the name Hordeum vulgare. RNAcentral describes it as "long non-coding RNA (HVUL_LNC017905)". The record is from RNAcentral. Lineage: Eukaryota; Viridiplantae; Streptophyta; Magnoliopsida; Poales; Poaceae.